GCGCGCUCAAAGUUGCCGGCGGCUGCGAUGACCCAUGUACCAUCUUCAACACUCCUCAGUACUGCUGCCCUUCCGGCUCCAGCUGCGAGCCAACCACCUAUUCCGAGUUCUAUAAGGGCCUGUGCCCGAAUGCGUUUAGCUACCCGGAUGAUUAUGUCAACACCAGCUUCACCUGCCCCGGUGGGAGCAACUACCAGGUUACCUUCUGCCCUUGAGGCUUUGAGAGCAUGGUCAUCCAUGCAUGACGCUGUUUCGAGUAUGUGAUAGCUUUGGAAUAAGGUGUUUGUAACCAAAUUUACGAGCCAUUAAACUGGCCUGUGAUGCGUGCAGCAUUAUUGGAAUUAUAGAAAUAAUUGUUUACUGUUAGUAAAUGCACUCUCCAUCUUCAAUAUCUUAUGGAUGACUACAAAAAUAAGAAAAUGGUAUAGCAAGUUGCUCUAUUCGGCAAUACAUCUCCUCUCCAGUAUGGCGCUAGCGUAAUAUCUGGUAAAUGGACCAAUUCCAGCGAUCACUGGCCCCAUCAGUUGCACCAUCCCCUUUUGCCCUGUGGAACAAGAAAUCCUGGAGUUAAUGCCUAGAAGUUGAUCUAACAAAGUGAAUCACCACAAAAUUCUUUCACCGGUCAACUGCUGGUGUAUUAUAAGUAGUUAUACGAACUGAGAGAAACUAUUUGGAAAGUUCGGAAGAUAAUGUCUUUUAAUUUUUGAGUGAGAGACUUGGGCCGAGCGUAGUCCAAUAUACUAAAAUAAAACAGAGUGCAAACGGUGACAUUUCUGAUUUCACCACCCCCGGGCCUCUUGAUUCUUACUAAGGCAGAAUUCAUUCAUGAUAUCUUUUAAUGAUUGUCAAAACUCACAUAUGCAAGUAAUUAAUAUUUUAAUAGAUCCUUAUUGAAUUUGAUUUAACUCUAAGACAGAAUUUCCCAACAUGCUGAAUGGAACCUCGGGGCAUAAUAGCGAUGGGAUUGGGAGGUAAUAAAAAACAAUACAAUUAAAACACAACAGAAUCAACAACUCUCCCACCUCAUGUAAACCUGUUAGGAAAUAAAUAAUGCUGCAACAAUAGAGCAAUAAAAACGUUGGAUAAUUGUUUACUGUUAGUAAAUGCGCUCCUCCAUGUUCGGUAUCGUAUGGAUGACUAAUUACAGAGGGAAAAGACGAGAAUACUAUGGCAAGUUGCACUAUCUAUUCGGCAAUCCAUUUCCUAUCAGAUAUGGCACUAUCUAAACGUCUAGGAAAUGGCCCAAGUCCAACGAUCACUGACCCCAUCAAUCGCACCAUCCCCCUUUGACAUGUUGGAUAAGAAAUACAGGAGCAAAACGCAUCGAAGCUGAUCUUGCAAAUUGAAUCACUCCAAAAUACUUUCAUUAAUCUAUUGCUGUUCCAAUAUUAAUUAUUUACAUGAACUAAGAGAAACUAUUGGGAAACUCUAGAGAAGAUACAUCCAUGUAUUUUUUUUAUUUUAUGACCGAAAGACUUGGGUUGAGUCUAAUCCAAUUUAUUAAAUUAAAAUAAAGUACAAACGGUUNNNNNNNNNNNNNNNNNNNNNNNNNNNNNNNNNNNNNNNNNNNNNNNNNNNNNNNNNNNNNNNNNNNNNNNNNNNNNNNNNNNNNNNNNNNNNNNNNNNNNNNNNNNNNNNNNNNNNNNNNNNNNNNNNNNNNNAUAUAUAUAUAUAUAUAUAUAUAUAUAUAUAUAUAAACAUCUUCCGUGUGUUACCUUCUAUCAUAUAUGGAACGUCGGGUCCCUGUUGCUUACAAACAGGUGCUCUGGCCAAGCCGAAUAAUAUUGGAUUUAGUAUCCUCUGUACAGGAUUAUUAAGUUGGUCACGAGGAAAAAUUUCAUCGUGCAUCAAGAUUUUGGAUAACCUUCGCAACAAAGUAUGCUCCAUUUGACGAUUAGAUUGCACUAAUCCCAGAAGCCCAUGGAGGAAGUUUCUCAGAACUUGAAUUCUCUGUAAGUCAAGUUGCAAUAGCUCACGUACUUAAAUCAGUUGAAGUAUGAAAGUGGAAUUGGUGUUGUGUGGGAGGAUGCAGAGAAGCAUAUAAGACGGUCAGUUUGGUGUUUCCAGAUAAUUUCCACGGACGUAGCGGUGGUUUUCCACUUCUACCAGCUAUUUCUCAGCAGACCUUUCGGGACUUCCAUCGAAGGACACUGUCAAGUUAGGCAAAUGGAUAACUUUCAAGGUUGUCUGCAUCAGCAGUCCAAACACUUGGAAGACGCAAGUAGGGAUGUUCACACGGAUGAUUUUUCUUAGCUCAUAAUUACCAUGCGCCUUACACGCAUCCAAAAUUUAUUUCUACAUGGUGAAGAUAUGUACAUGUUCUGAAAAUGGAUACAAGUGUGUCAGGUUGGAUUAGGAUUUGGCUUAGUCUGGAAAUGCAUAUAUUAAUUGUUGGAGUUUUAAUUUAUGAAAAGAUUUAAAUUUUAAAAAUAAAAAAUCAAUCUUAUUUCAUAUUUAUCAGUUGCUUCAAAAGUUUUAAAACUUUUUGUAUUUUUAGUCUAGCAUCAGAUUUGUGAAAGCAAGAAUGAAAAUCCUGUAUCCUUGGUUGACAACCGUGCGCCAUACUCACUGAACCUGCAUCCUCGGUGUUUUUUUGGCCUGCACCUCUUUUGAUGCAUCAAUCUUUUAAUCUUAGCUGAUCUAGAUGUGAUGUAACACAUCCCAUCAGGUGACGAUUACAAAGGUGAUAGGAUGUACCUUGAAGAAUCUGAUAGAGGCAAGAUUUAAACUUAUCCAAUGGAUAGAAACCAUGGAGGCUCUAGUGAAGGUAAGAUCAAUCACCGUGCUUGCCUAGCAGUCCAUUGAUAAAGUAGAUAUGACUGAGCAGGUUGCUCCCUAGCAUAUAGAUUUGGCAUGACUACAUAUGAAGAUGACGUGAUGGUAUCCUCGAAAGUAGUUGCCCCCUGCCCUCGAAAUAAGAGUAGGCUACAUUGCAAGCUGGUUGAACUGUUGUUCUUCAUCCACUAGUACUUAAAAAUAUCUAACUUUGGCAAAAGUGACUGGAGUCAACAUGAUUCCAUCGACUUCUCUCUUAGCUACCAUUUGCAAAAAUCAAGUUAGUUGAGGCCCAUCUCGGGCUUGUAUAUUGGCCUAAUAUUGACCAAAGCCUUAUUGACUGUCUAUUUGAUAUGAUUUGCUCUUGCAUUAACCUGCAGGACCUCCUUGUCUCAGCCUAUAGAUUCCAAAAGCUCCAUAAGAAAAUUUUCGGGCUCUUCCCCCUGAUGAGCCUAACUCGGAUUCUUCAUAUACUACAAUACUUCCCAGUAAAAUGGACUCAUCUUCCAUGAAGAUAGGAUCGAUUUCUUCUUCUACAGGAUAUACUAGAAUGUACUGUGAUUUGGUGCAUCAGCUUCCUUCUUUUUCAGAGCGAGACUCCCCAGGAAAGGUCAUGUUUAAUUAGUUCAAAGUAAGCAUGGAAACAGAUCUUUCAAUCCAUUCCACUAUCGAAGCCGAAGAUGCUGCAUAACGAUCCAAAAGUGGUCUUAGUAUAGAGGCCGCUUUCUAUGCCGUUGCUUCCUUAACUUCCUUCCAUAGUGGUAUAGUGGCAAUUACAUGAUUAUGUCACUAGAACUAAUAUGACAAUGACUACGUAUGGCUUCACUAAUACUAGGGUUCCACUAAUACAUAGGGUUACACAAUUAAGUCGGACCCAUCUUGGAUUCUAAGAACGACAAUGAUGACUCGAUUGCACUAGGUCCUCCUGAUUUUCCAUUGCAUAAGUCUAAUGUGGCGGUUGUUGCAGCUACGGUUGUUGCUGCUGUUGGUUAGUGACCAUCUACUAUAAAUUCUAGGGCGGCGGCGGUCAGCGAUUGAACCUGCUGCAUGAGCAGACUAAACUAUUCACUGGUGGUCGACGGGUCAGGCUGUGGCUCUUGCUGGGGAGCCCUCCGAGAGCUCUAUAAAAAGCCAUUAGACUCCAUGACUGCAUCCUAUUGGGCAAUUGCAGUCGCUACCUAGGUUUUCUUAACUUCAUAGCUGUGUGUCGUCCACUUGAUCGAUCAGACCUCCAAAGAUAGAAUCAUAACCCUUCCACUAGCCCCAAUCUAUUGCCGCUAGGAACUAGUCCAACCUAGGCACUGAGUUGGUGGGGAUCGCAAAGAUCUCAGCUCGUUUGUCGUCCAGAUCAGAGAAAUCAGAUGAGAUCGUUGCAUGUCUCCACGGUAAUGUUCCAGUGGUUGUUGCACUCGAUCAAUGGUGAUCCCGAUGUCGAACACUCACGAGUCGGUAUUGUAUGAUGGAGGAACGGCUUCAUGCGAUGCUCUGACGUAGGCUCCAACCUGAAACGGUAAAAAUAAAGAAGUCCACACACUGGAGCAUAUUCGAUGGGGAUCCUUCGAUGCCCAAGUCAGACACAACUCAAAAAGAAUGGGAGGAGGCCUGAGAUGGGAGAGAGGAAGCACAAGAGAGUCGAAAGAGAGCUUGUACGGAGGGUCUUCAUAAAUGCAAUACAUAGAUAAGGAUCGAAGCCCGCCGCCAAGUAAUUUGGAGCUAUAUAUAUGCUAGUUGAUGAGGCAAUAAGUUUUUAUUGGUUAGUUUGUUUCAUCAGCAUGGAUCAAUUCGGAGAUAAAUGAUCCUAAAUAGGUUGGUUUUGAAUGAAAAUAAAUUUUUGCCUAGAUUUCUUUUCCAGGCUAUGAAAAUCCAUGAGGAUCGUAGAGUCUGUCCCUGGCCUUUCAGGGAAAGGGUCCAUCCAAAUCCUGCCGCAGAUUAGAACUCUUGCAAUACAUAAAGAUGAUGAAUUUUUAUUGAUUGGUUUGUCUUAUCAGCAUGAAUCAAUUGUAAAAUAAAUGAUUUUUAAUUGGUUGGUUUUUUGAAAAUAAAUUUUUGUCCAGAUUCUUUUUCCUAGGCUGUGAAAAUUUUUGAGGAUCUAAUAAUUGUCUGUCUUUUUUUCGUACAGUCAGUCCCCUGAAAGGUCCAUCCAAAUCCUGCCGCAUAUUCGAACCCUUGUAAUGGUUAUCCAGUUAGUGGAUGGCUUAGAAAUUUUUCAGAUGACGUCGUUCACUCGCAGGCUUGCGCGCAGUACCAUCUGAGAAUAAAAUGCCGUCGGCUUGCCCGUAACCUCUCUCUCUCUCUCUGUCUUUGUCUGCUGGCCAAAUUUUUCCAUGCUAUAAGGACCCGCUGAGAGACGUCAUGAAGAUAACGCAUGAAAUUUUUCAAACGAUGACGACAAUAGUCUCCAAUGCUAUUGGGACACCUCCGGCUCAGAGGCAUUAUGGAAGACGACGCAUGGCACUUUUCCAACAAUGACAGGCAGUUUAGUCUCCAACCGCGUAGUGAUCCCCUUCUCGGCAAGAUAGCUCAUAUGUGAAAGCAGUAGAGUAUAGCGUACUGCUCGCGCCGUGAGCUUACAGAAUAACUUGACAUUUAUAUACAUAGAAAAGCCUCCUACGUACUUUAAUGUAACAUUAAAUUCCGUUGCACUUGCGUAGACGGGAAAGCAUACAAGUUGGAUGAUCAAGGAUGAUACUUGAGAUCUGGGCGCGGAAUGUAUUUGCAGAAAUUUUCUAUUAGGAAGAGCAUUUUUCAAUGGUUGGGUUAAAAAUUCUAUUAAAUUCAUAUGUUGGGCCAGUACAAUGAACAUGAUCAAAAAUAUCCAAAAAUAGUUUUGGAGCGAGUUGGCCUAAAUUUUAUAAGAAAAAAAAACUCAGUAGGUCUAGUCUGGCCUCUAAUUCUGUAAUUUUGCUGAUUGUAAUGAUCCAACCCAUAAAUUUAAUAGGAUUUUCAGUCUACUCAUUCAGACAGGUCCUUCCAUGUGGUGCCGACUUUUGAGGUACAUGCGAGGACACCAUGGUCAAGCUCUGUUCAUGGAAAACAUCAACGUGAGUUAAUUAGCAUCAGAUACCUGUGACUUAUGAAUGGGAGGAUGCUGAGCUGUGGAGAUGGAUGGGUCAUGAAUUAUUAACUUGCUAGUUAUUUACUAAGGCUCAUAAUGGAUCACUACAUGAUUUGUUCAAGAGCAAAUUUGCAUAUAUGACAUCAAGAGUAUCACGAGCUUUCCUUUCUUUUGCGAGAACACGGUGAUUAUUACUUAAGUUUGAGUUCGAAAUGUAUACAUGACCUAACAUGGUAUUUCGUACAAGUAUGUUACAUACGGCACUCAAUAUUUUUUCUAAAUUAUUUUACAGUUUACUAAAUAUACUAUGAAAUAUACUCGUUAUGAUAUUUUUUUUAAUAAUUUGAGACUUUUCAAUACCUCAAGCAGAAACACAAAUUUAAUUAUUCUAAAGCCCAAAGAAAGGUCUGCAGUCCUCAAUAGCUUACUCCCUGGGAGGCUUCCCCUGCUUUGGUUCUGUUCUAUAGAUAUUAACAAAAAUAAAAUAUAAAGAUAUAGAUUUUGUAUUUUAAAUAUAAAGUGUGGAAUAAGAGAAUAUUUCUUACCAAAUAUGUUACACACAGAAAUAGUUGCAGUAUAUGUAACAAGAAAUAGUGGUCAAAUUUUAAUAAGUUAGAAAGUGAAUUGAGCAUACAAAAAAUUUUAGACUCAUGAAUUAGGUAUAGGUAAAAAAAAAAAAAAUCAAGAUUCAGAUUUUAAGGUGUACCUCAAGAUUGUGUAUAGUGUUUUUUUCUUUUUGGGCUAAAAUCUCUUAUCAUAUAUAUAUAUAUAUAUAUAUAUAUAUAUAUAUAUAUAUAUAUAUAUAUAUAUAUAUANNNNNNNNNNNNNNNNNNNNNNNNNNNNNNNNNNUUAUGGAGGUUAUUAAUAUCUAAGAAUCAUGCUUAUCUAAGAGUUUGAUUUUAUUCAAAAUCAUUUAUUAUUGUUUUUAUGAUCGACAUUAUAUCAUAAAGAAUAAUUCAACUAGCAACAUUCCAAAAAUUGUUCCUAUGACAUUUCAAACUUUCACUUUUUCAUAUAUUUUAAACUUUUAAAAUAUUUACUUAUGCAAUUAUGGUAAAGAAAAUGUAUGUCAUAUCCAUUUCCUCAAAAAAGGUAUAAUGUAAAGUGUGAAGCCGACCCUCUGUAAAUGGCAUUUAAGUUACUACAUAAAAUAAAAGCACAAAAAGUUUUAUAUGAAUGAACUAAGAAAUAUUCAAUAAUUUGAGAAGUACAUUAUAUUAUAUAAAAAUCAUUCAAAUAAUAAAGCAAAGAUACCAUGCAUGGAAAUCUGAUUUAUGAAAACAAAUAAAGUUAGUAGUAAAGAAUAUAUAAUUAGAUACUAAAAAUAUCCGUAGUAUGUUGGGUCAAUUAUUUUAUGAUUUUCUAGAUUUUUUUGAAUUUUUAUAAGCAGCAUUUUUUCAUAAUUUUUUAUUUAUAAUAUCCACAAGAAAGUCCAAUCAGUUUUAACCACUGAAACAAAAACAGAGCGGGAAAGCUUAAAUGGAAUUUUUGUUGAUGAUUUAGUUAAACAAUUUUAGUUGAUCCAUUGAUAUAACAUAUUUGGAUAACUUUAAUAUAUUUAGAUAAUUUUUACAUAUUUAUAUGAUUUAUAAUCCAUCUUUUUUUUUGAAUUUAGCAUGUAAAAAAUUUGAAUUUUGUGCAUACAAAUUUGAAUUAUGUGGCUUAUUUGAAUUUGAUUUAAUAUGCUUCGUUUAUUUUUUUGUGCAUAUAUGCGAUUUUUUAUACAAAUUUUUCUUUGUAACAUACAUAACUUCACAAAAUGUCACGCUUUUUUUUUGUAGAAAAUUUCUUUUUUGACAUGACUUCCAAAAAUGUCUCUAUUUUUUUUGAAUUGCGGAGAGGGGUUGUGUUUUUUCUUUCUUUUCCAUUUAAUUGGUAUAGAGAUAACCUUAUAACGAGGCAUUAGAAUCCUCUGGGUAGGUUGUAGAAAAUUCUUAACUGCAACUAAGCCAUGUGUCAGAUUUAUAUUUGUCGUUUGAUCAACUAUAUCGAGUGCAUCUAGAAGAUCAAGUAAGUUGGUUUCGAAUGAAGAUAAACUUGGCUCUUCUUGACUUUAUCCUUAGGUUGGCAAUCGUCCACUCUAAGUUGAACAGGUUUGAAACCAUCCUAAUCCUUUCUUUUUUAUUUUUCUUUUUCUUUCUUUUUCUUUUUCUUUUCUUAGCAAAAGGGAAGAGUGGAGUGAGGAGAACCUCACCCGCAUAGCAACCCCCAUUGGGUCCUCUCCCUGCUCGAGAAUAUUUAAUACGGGUAGAACCUUUUUUACUCAUACCCUCCCCACCCGUGGUAGAGUCCCACCAGCAUGGCAGCCCUGCCCUCGUGUGAGUAGUGACACCAACACCACCUAAGUAAACGGUAGAUCAGAUAGCGACUCUACCGGACAAAUCAAGCAGGGAGCAUCCGGUCCUCAUAUUUAAUCGAUGUCCGCACAUUUCGAACUUGAGCCAUUCCGGUGGAAUCAAAAUGCCAUUCCCACAGUGCUACCAUCUCGGUGGUGCCUUCCUAAUCAUCUGGUGGACUAGAAGUGUUGUCCUGAUGAUCCUAAUAACUAGUGCAUGACUUUAAUUUUAUCAUAGUCUUGCAUACUUGCUUUGGAAGGUAAUGCAUGGGAGAUUUUUCAACAAUGACGACAUUUGAAUAAUCUCCGGCAACGUUUUGUUCCCGUCGCCUGCAUCCCAAGACUCCUUCAACAGAGUCACGAGAAAAUUGGGAGGGCAUGCGAGACUUAUCCCUGGAAGACGUUUCCACACUUGACCUGCUUUUUGCCCGAAAGAACUUAACGAAGUCAUCAUUAAAAAAGAUGACUACAUGGCAGGGGAAUAGAAAAACUCGUUCAUUCAUAAAUGCAGCAUUGCUAAAUUCAGUUGUACCUACCGACAAGCACAAGCUCGCGAACUAAGGUUUUUUUUUUUUUUUUUUUGUUCCUGAUGAUCCUAACCAGCAUGGUUAGCCACGUAAGUGGCCACCCAAUCUGCAGCUCCGUCAGCUUCUCUAAACACAUGCUUCACCUGGAUAUUCCUUUCGUCCCUCAUCAUCAUUCAGAUAUCGCGAAGCAAAGAAUGGUCACCAGCAGCGACCCUCAGACCUCUCUGGAUCUAGGUGAUGACCGUAGCCGAGUCACCCUUCAAGAUGACCGACCCAACUGAGAGCACACACUGAGCAUAUCGAAGGCCCGCCCAGGCUGCCCUUAGCUCUGCACCAGAAAUCGUGCAGUCAAAUAAUUGACAGCCUCCCACUGCCACGACCCUGAAGUUCGGAUCCCUAAUGAUGAAAUCCGCUCCACCAUUAGCGCCUCCAUCCAGCACCGACCCAUAAAAAUUGACCUUGAGGAAACUACGGGGUAGGGGCUUCCAGGUGAAAAACAUCAUACGAGGAGCUGCAGAGGCAGAAUGGGAACCCCAGAUAUCCCAAGCUGUCCAAGGUCCUUCUAAGGAGGAAGCAUGACUAAUCUUUGCCGCCUGCGCCGAGGCACUCUUUGCCACAAGCCUUGGCGACUUGCUGUGCUCACCAAAGGUUUGAGCAUUUCUUGCCAGCCAUACCUGGUAUGCUAUGCAAGUCGUCCUAACCGCCUCCUGGCGUGUCAGUGGGUUACCCGACCACCUACGAAUGGUCCAUAAGAACUGAUCCCCCUUAGACUAACUCUUCCGCAGCAGCACCGCUGCACUCCACGCCGCCCUAGCUCAUGUGCACUGAAACACUACGUGGUCCACCGACUCAUCGGCACCGCAUGCCCCACACUCAGGGGGUAGCCUCAGUCCCCGUCCGCUGAGUACUGCUCUCGUCGGAAGCCGAUCCCAGACGACAUUCCAUAAGAACAGUAUAACCCUCGAGUGGAGACCUAGGCGUCAGACCCAGGCACACUCCGGACCUAGCUCAUGAUCAGGCCGGAGCACUCGGAAGAGCUCUCCCACCCUAAUGCAGGUACUACACAACGUGCUCCACACCUGAGUAUCAGGACCACAUACCUCGGAAUCGGAAGAGACCGGACCCUCUCAGUUAGGUGUGUCCCAAAUAUUUGACCCAACCUAGCCUCAUCCAUAGCAGCCUUGCCAAGGUCAAGGAGGUCGCAAACCUGCAGUCCUCCACUACCUCAAUAUCAACCGUAGUCAACCAGAGUCUCCAAGGGAGGGCAACCACCCAUGGGUCGCCAACCACAUCGAUACUCCGCCCAUCACCUGUCAACCAUAUAGGAUUCUCCAUAACUGUUGGUAGAAAUCUUGCGAUCUCUCGCCACAUGAAUGGGCAACGAUUUGUACUGUGGAUCACCCCUACAUUACCCGUUCGGCCAUAUCUGGCAGCGAUGGUCUGACUCCAAAACCCCUGCAGCUCUAGCGUGAAUUGAGCUGCAUGUCGGGCAAACAACGGCUCGCGCCUCUCCAAAAGAGACAGCACACCAAGGCUUUCCUUACUCAACGGUAGGCAGAUACUCUCCCAUGCCACUAAAUGCACCCCAUGACCCCCUCCAUACAACCCCCAUAGGAAGCUUCGAAGUAGUCUCUCGAUCCUCAUCAGCACCAUUUUCGAAACCACCGUGUUUGCCAUUAGGUAGACAAGCAUGGAACCUAGCACUGAUCUAAUCAGCGUCAAUCUACCCAUCAUAGAAAGCGAAGACACCCUCCAGCACUCCAGUCUACUCUGAAUCUUCUGCACCAGACCGGUGCACUCGGCUACCCGCAGCCUCCUACCCGUAAUGGAUACUCCCAGGUAGCUCCAGGUCCCAUCCUAUACCAGCAUCUUCAGUAUUCCCCGAAUCUUCUGUCUGACCCUAUACUCCAUGCUAGAGCUGAAGGAGAUGGUUGACUUCUGGAGGUUUACCUUCUGCCCUGACACUGCGUAGUACUUCGCUAAUAUUCUUCUAAGCACUCGUGCAUCCGCUGCCCGCGCAUUGACUAGGAGAAGACAAUUAUCUGCGAACAAUAAGUAUGAUAUAGGUCAAGACCCUGGGUCUAACUGGGUCGGGUCACGAGUCGACCCAACCCAUUUGUAGCCUUAUUUCUACUUAAUAGGUACCUAAAAAUAGAGAUAGAUAUUGAAAUAUUUAAUCAAAAAAAAUGUAUAUAAAAAUAAUAGAAAUAAUGAAAGAAAAAUUCUAACUUAUUGCUAAUGUAUCUUCUUAAGUUUGAAGACUCCAAAUAAAAUUCUUACUAUUUGGACAGUUUUUUUUAAAAUUUUUUUUUCAUGCAGUCUUCAUAUUUUCCUUUUUUUUGUUUGGUUUUCUCUACAAAUUUCUUUCAAUUUUUACAAAAUUUUGGUGAAAGCACUAACCCACUCUCUUUUUUCCGUUUAAUAGGUACGGAGACAUAGAGAUUAUUAUUUUAUCUUAAUUAUUAAAUUAAUAGCUUUCUACAUACACAAAAUAAAAUAAAUUAACUUUUAAUGUUAUCGGGGUUGUUGGAAUCAGCAGUCCAAACACUUGGAACACGCAAUUAGGGAUGUUGACACGGAUGAUUUUUCAUUAGCUCAUAGCCACUGAUCGAAUCAUGUACCUGGGACUUCCACCAAAGGACACGGUCAAGAAAGACAAAAACGCCUCCUCCUCAGCCUACCCUCCCCCAUCGCCCUAUAAAUACUCUUACUGCCCAUCCCGCAACCCCACACAAUCCUCAACCAGAGAGCCAUCUUCCUGGGUAUCAAAAUGGCCUCCUCGACCUCCCUCACUCUCCUCUUCUUCCCCUUCCUCCUCCUCACCCUCUCCCACGCCGCCACCUUCAACGUCGUCAACCAAUGUUCCUACACCGUGUGGGCUGCAUGGGCAGCCACCGGCAACGUCGGCGGCGGCCAGCAGCUCGACCAAGGCCAGACCUGGACGGUCACCGUCAACGCCGGCACCACCGGUGGCCGCAUCUGGGCCCGUACUGGCUGCUCCUUCGAUGCCAACGGCAACGGGAACUGCCAGAGCGGCGACUGCGGCAAGCUCGCGCGCCUGCACCUCCUACGGCUCCGCACCCAACACCCUCGCGGAAUUCGCCCUAAACCAGUUCCAGAACCUCGACUUCAACGACAUCUCCCUCGUUCAGGGCUUCAACGUGCCCAUGGACUUCCGCUCCACCUCGUCGGACUGCAGCCAAGAUAUCCAAUGCACCGCCGACGUCGUUGGGCAGUGCCCCAGCGAGCUUAAAGUGCCCGGCGGCUGUGAUGACCCAUGCACCAUCUUCAACGCUCCUCAGUACUGCCCCCCUAACGGCUCCAGCUGCGAGCCAACCACCUAUUCCGAGUUCUUUAAGAGGCUGUGCCCGAAUGCGUUUAGCUACCCAGAUGAUUAUGUGAACACCAGCUUCACCUGCCCCGGUGGGAGCAACUACCAGGUUACCUUCUGCCCUUGAGGCUUUGAGAGCAUGGUGAUCCAUGCAUGACGCUGUUUCGAGUAUGUGAUAGCUUUGGAAUAAGGUGUUUGUAACCAAAUUUACGAGCCAUUAAACUGGCCUGUGAUGCAUGCAGCAUUAUUGGAAUUAUAGAAAUAAUUGUUCACUGUUAGUAAAUGCACUUCUCCAUCUUCAAUAUCUUAUGGAUGACUACAAAAAUAAGAAAAUGGUAGAGCAAGUUGCUCUAUUCGGCAAUACAUUUUCUCUCCAGUAUGGCACUAGCGUAAUAUCUGGUAAAUGGACCCACUCCAGCGAUCACUGACCCCAUCAAUUGCACCAUCCCCUUUUGACCUGUGGAACAAGAAAUCCUGGAGUUAACGCCUAGAAGUUGAUCUAACAAAGUGAAUCACAACAAAAUUCUUUCACUCGUCAACUGCUGUUGUAUUAUAAGUAUUUAUACGAACAGAGAGAAACCAUUUGGAAAGUCCGGAAGAUGAUGUUUUUUAAUUUUUGAGUGAGAGGCUUGGGCCGAGCGUAGUCCAAUAUACUAAAAUAAAACAGAGUGCAAACGGUGACAUUUCACCACCCCCAGGCACCUUGAUUAAUUCUUACUAAGGCAGAAUUCAUUCAUUAUAUCUUUUAAUGAUUGUCAAAACUCAUAUAUGCAAGUAAUUAAUAUUUUAAUAGAUCCUUAUUGAAUUUGAUUUAACUAUAAAACAGAAUCUCCCAACAUGCUGAAUGGAACCUCGGGGCAUAAUAGCGAUGGGAUUGGGAGGUAAUAAAAAACAAUACAAUUAAAACACAACAGAAUCAACAACUCUCCCACCUCGUGCAAACAUGUUAGGAAAUAAAUAACUAAAGCCAAUCCAUCUAAUAUAUAUAUCAUAGAUAUUCACAAAUACCUAGCUGAUCAAAUUAUCAAAAACAUAAAAGCAACACUAAAUUUUACGUCGAAAAUUAAACCUCCCAAUAUGGAGAGUAAAAACAACGGGACCGUAGUCCACCCAAAAACUUUCACUAUCAACCAAGAAUGGAUAUUACAAUCUAUUCUCUCUAGCUAAAACUAGAGACAUAUAUCACCACAUAAUUUCAAGAACAAUAUUCUUGGCAAACAUCAACAAUAAGAAAGAGAAAAAAUGAGAAGAUCUCACAUGAACAGCAGUCAUGUUUUUGCAGAAUCUUAUUAUGCUGGAAGAUUGAAAAUAGCAAUCACACCGUAUAAAUUGAAGAACCACGUGUUUGAGCCUACUGUCAAAAUUUUAACUCAAUCGGACCUCGGAUUGCCUUCCAAUCGUCGUUUGAUCAAAACUGCACAUAGUGAACUAAUUCUACUCCUCCGCCGCUGCCUUCUUUUUUUUACGAAGACUCCUCACGCUGCCUGGCUUCUCCACAUAAAAACUGUCCUAAUGGGCCCCACAUUUUGGGCCAAAAGUUAUUCCAACUAAUAUGGGCUAAAAAUAAUUAAUUGAGCCCACAUUUGUUGAGCUAAGUCUUCUCCAACAUAAGAGGGACAACCCAACAAAUCUCCCCCUCCCGACUAUGUGGAGGGAUUCACCAUCCCAGCGAUCAAUCGACAUGUCAGUCCUAUGUCUAUUGUUGACUUGAAUUAGCAUACAAUAAACAAUACCUAAGUCCACAAAAAAGAUUAUUUUUUGCUUGUUAUAUAUAAAUUGUUUAAUAUCACAGUUGAUUUUGGAAGCUAACCAUCUUUUCUUGGAAGGUGACUCAGCGACAGUGAUUGGUAGGAUAAAUUGAGAUAGCCGACAUUUGGAUGGAUUAUGCAUCUUCACACAACUUAACGGGCCUACCUGGGACUUCUAACAAAGGACACGGUCAACUUAAGCAAAUGGAAAACGUUCUGGGUUGUUGGAAUCACCAGUCCAAACACGCAAGUAGGGAUGUUGAAACGAAUGAUUUUUUAUUAGCUCAUAACCACUGAUCGAAUCAUGUGCCUUACAUUUGUCCAUCACUUAUUGCCUCAUGAUGAAGAUAUGUACACGUACUGCAAAUGGCUACAGGAGUGUCAGUGCCAGCCGCCUGUGGUUCCCACCUAAAGUCAAGUCCAUCGUAUCUUUUCGUUUUCUCGGUAGACAAUUCCAUCCUAUCUUUGAACAUCGCCAACCACGCUGGCUACGUUGGACAAAGAAAACAAAAAAACAAAACGCUUCCUCCUCAGCCUACCCUCCCCCACCGCCCUAUAAAUACUCUUACUGCCCAUCCCACAACCCCACACAAUCCUCAACCAGAGAGCCAUCUUCCUGGGUAUCAAAAUGGCCUCUUCGACCUCCCUUACUCUCUUCUUCUUCCCUUUCCUCCUCCUCACCCUCUCCCACGCCGCCACCUUCGACGUCGUCAACCAAUGUUCCUACACCGUGUGGGCUGCAUGGGCAGACACCGGCAACAACGGCGGCGGCCAGAAGCUCGGCAAGGGCCAGACCUGGACGGUCACCGUCAAUCCCGGCACCCCCCGUGCCCGCAUCUGGGCCCGUACCGGCUGCUCCUUCGAUGCCAACGGCAACGGGAAGUGCCAGACCGGCGACUGCGGCAAGCUCGCCUGCACCUCCUACGGCUCCCCGCCCAACACCCUCGCGGAAUUCGCCCUCAACCAGAACUCCCCACCUUACUACACCAACCGCGACUUCAACGACAUCUCCCUCGUUCAGGGUUUCAACGUGCCCAUGGACUUCCGCUCCACCUCGUCGAGCUGCAGCAUGGAUAUCCAAUGCACCGCCGACGUCGUUGGGAAGUGCCCCAGCAAGCUCAAAGUAACCGGCGGCUGCGAUGACCCAUGCACCAUCUUCAAGACUGCUCAGUACUGCUGCCCGUCCGGCUCAAGCUGCGAUCCAACUACCUAUUCCAAGUUCUUUAAGAGCCUGUGCCCGAAUGCGUAUAGCUACCCGGAUGAUUAUAACAACACCCAAUUCUCCUGCCCCGGUGGGACCAACUAUAAGGUCACCUUCUGCCCUUGAGGCUUU
This 15104-nucleotide long non-coding RNA is filed under the name Phoenix dactylifera (date palm). RNAcentral's name for it is "long non-coding RNA (PDAC_LNC002336)". Lineage: Eukaryota; Viridiplantae; Streptophyta; Magnoliopsida; Arecales; Arecaceae. The record is from RNAcentral.